Molecule: long non-coding RNA, 672 nt
Organism: Balaenoptera musculus (blue whale)
Lineage: Eukaryota; Metazoa; Chordata; Mammalia; Artiodactyla; Balaenopteridae
Exons: 3
Source: RefSeq, a predicted model, not a curated record
UCUCGCCGCGAGGGUGGGCCGGCGCCUGCAUCACCGUGACAUCACCUCCAUUCAGGGGCUUAUCGGGCGCCCGCGGCGCUCCAGGUCCUGGGCAGCCCAGGAGGAAUGGAUAGAACUUGUUCCCAGCACAUGAAGAGUUUCCGGUGAGCUGCUGUCACUUACUAGCCAAAUGACUGCGGAGCCUGAGGGACAGGAGAAACCAGAGAAUUGGAGGGCAGUAUAUUCAGACCUGACAAUCACAGAAGACCACACAGAUUCCCACUUCACCUUAGUUCUUUGACCUUGAUGAAAAACAUAUUUCCAAUGGAUAAGUAAUAUCUUGCAGGUGAAGUCAGAAGUGUUGUGAUCAUUUUGCUGUCAAAGAGUGAACAGACUUGGCCUUGCAGCCUAGAGGGGAGCAUUCAGCAGUCUGAAUCUUUUUGUAACCACUUACCAACUCAGUGAGUAAAAGAAAGCAAAUUUGCAUUCUUUGUGUUCCUCAGGUAAAAUACAAUCUGUUCUCCCAGGAAGCAGGUGAAUGUCCGGUUUUGAGUUUUUCUAUAAAAUUCACAUUUCUCCCACCCUUAGAAUCCCCUCAAAGUCUGAUCUGAGUGUCAAAGUCCUACCUAGAACAAAGAGAGUUGGGGUAGCACAAGUCUAUACCUGGUGGUAUAAUAAGAAAUAUAUUUGGUC